AACGAACGCUGGCGGCAUGCUUAACACAUGCAAGUCGAACGGUACCUUCGGGUACAGUGGCGCACGGGUGAGUAUCGCGUGGGAACCUGCCUUGGAGUACGGAAUAACUACGGGAAACUGUGGCUAAUACCGUAUAUUGCCUUCGGGUGAAAGAUUUAUCGCUCCGAGAGGGGCCCGCGUCCGAUUAGCUAGUUGGUGAGGUAAUGGCUCACCAAGGCUCCGAUCGGUAGCUGGUC
Molecule: ribosomal RNA, 236 nt
Filed under: uncultured bacterium
Lineage: Bacteria
Description: partial 16S ribosomal RNA
Rfam family: Bacterial small subunit ribosomal RNA
Source: RNAcentral